GACGAACGCUGGCGGCGUGCUUAACACAUGCAAGUCGAGCGGAGAGGCCCGGCUUUUGUGGGAUUCUCGAGUGGCGAAAGGGGGAGUGUCACGUGAGUAGCCUGCCCUUUACUUUGGGGGAACUUCAGGGAACUGGGGCUAAUACAGGGUAGAAGCUCCUGCUGCAUGGGGUGGAUGGUAAAGUUUCGGCGGUUGGGGAUGGACUCGCGGCUUAUCAGCUUGUUGGUGAGGUAGUGGAUUACCACGGCUUUGAUGGGUAGCCGGAUUGAGAGGGUGACCGGCCACAAUGGGCCUGAGAUACGGCCAAGAGUGCUACUGGAGGCAUGAGCGAGGAAUAUUGCACAAUGGGCGGAAUCAGGAUGCAGCAACUCCGGGUGCGGGAUGACUGUUUUUGGGGUGUAACCUGCGUUCGCCUGUGACGCACAGCGAGUGACGGUAACGGGCAAAGAAGCAACGGCUAACUACGUG
RNAcentral lists this ribosomal RNA (468 nucleotides) under uncultured bacterium. RNAcentral's name for it is "partial 16S ribosomal RNA". It matches the Rfam family "Bacterial small subunit ribosomal RNA", at positions 28 to 507 of the family's 1533-position model. The record is from RNAcentral.